This 83-nucleotide transfer RNA is filed under the name Candidatus Woesearchaeota archaeon. Its description in RNAcentral is "tRNA-Ser". It matches the Rfam family "tRNA". From Rfam's summary of the family: Transfer RNA (tRNA) molecules are approximately 80 nucleotides in length. The record is from RNAcentral. Lineage: Archaea; Nanobdellati; Candidatus Woesearchaeota.
GCCGCGGUCGCAUAGUCUGGUAUUGCGCUGGAUUGCUAAUUCAGUCCCUUAUGGGAUCGCCGGUUCAAAUCCGGCCCGCGGCG